RNAcentral lists this ribosomal RNA (574 nucleotides) under uncultured bacterium. Its description in RNAcentral is "bacterial SSU rRNA". It matches the Rfam family "Bacterial small subunit ribosomal RNA", at positions 97 to 685 of the family's 1533-position model. The record is from RNAcentral.
GGCGGACGGGUGAGUAACGCGUAAGGAACUUGCCUCUUGGUCUGGGACAACUGUUGGAAACGACAGCUAAUACCGGAUAUUAUGAGAUUCUCGCAUGGGAAACUUAUGAAAGCUAUAUGCGCCAAGAGAGAGCCUUGCGUUCCAUUAGCUAGUUGGUGGGGUAACGGCCCACCAAGGCGACGAUGGAUAGCCGGCCUGAGAGGGUGAACGGCCACAAGGGGACUGAGACACGGCCCUUACUCCUACGGGAGGCAGCAGUGGGGAAUAUUGGACAAUGGGCCACAAGCCUGAUCCAGCAAUUCUGUGUGCACGAUGAAGGUCUUCGGAUUGUAAAGUGCUUUCAGUUGGGAAGAAGAAAGUGACGGUACCAACAGAAGAAGCGACGGCUAAAUACGUGCCAGCAGCCGCGGUAAUACGUAUGUCGCAAGCGUUAUCCGGAUUUAUUGGGCGUAAAGCGCGUCUAGGCGGAAAAAUAAGUCUGAUGUUAAAAUGCGGGGCUCAACUCCGUAUUGCGUUGGAAACUGUUUUUCUAGAGUACUGGAGAGGUGGGCGGAACUACAAGUGUAGAGGUGAA